CCUACGGGUGGCAGCAGUGAGGAAUAUUGGUCAAUGGACGAGAGUCUGAACCAGCCAAGUAGCGUGAAGGAUGACUGCCCUAUGGGUUGUAAACUUCUUUUAUAUGGGAAUAAAACGUUCCACGUGUGGGAUUUUGUAUGUACCAUAUGAAUAAGGAUCGGCUAACUCCGUGCCAGCAGCCGCGGUAAUACGGAGGAUCCGGGCGUUAUCCGGAUUUAUUGGGUUUAAAGGGAGCGUAGGUGGAUUGUUAAGUCAGUUGUGAAAGUUUGCGGCUCAACCGUAAAAUUGCAGUUGAAACUGGCAGUCUUGAGUACAGUAGAGGUGGGCGGAAUUCGUGGUGUAGCGGUGAAAUGCUUAGAUAUCACGAAGAACUCCGAUUGCGAAGGCAGUUCACUGGACUGUAACUGACACUGAGGCUCGAAAGUGUGGGUAUCAAACAGGAUUAGAUACCCCGGUAGUC
RNAcentral lists this ribosomal RNA (460 nucleotides) under uncultured bacterium. RNAcentral's name for it is "partial 16S ribosomal RNA". It matches the Rfam family "Bacterial small subunit ribosomal RNA", at positions 338 to 795 of the family's 1533-position model. The record is from RNAcentral.